RNAcentral lists this ribosomal RNA (445 nucleotides) under Synergistales bacterium canine oral taxon 244. RNAcentral describes it as "bacterial SSU rRNA". It matches the Rfam family "Bacterial small subunit ribosomal RNA", at positions 9 to 457 of the family's 1533-position model. Lineage: Bacteria; Thermotogati; Synergistota; Synergistia; Synergistales. The record is from RNAcentral.
GAGUUUGAUUAUGGCUCAGGAUGAACGCUGGCGGCGUGCGUAACACAUGCAAGUUGGACGACGGUGCUAUGAAGUGGUAACACGGAAUGGUAUACGGAGUAGCGGACGGGUGAGUAAAGCAUGAGGAGCUGUCCUGUUGAGGGGGAUAACGUUCGGAAACGGACCCUAAUACCCCAUAGGCCGAGAGGUUAAAGGCAGAGAUGCGCGACAGGAGGUACUCGUGUCCUAUCAGCUGGUUGGUGAGGUAACGGCUCACCAAGGCGACGACGGGUAGCCGGCCUGAGAGGGUGGCCGGCCACACUGGAACUGAGACACGGUCCAGACUCCUACGGGAGGCAGCAGUGGGGAAUAUUGGGCAAUGGGAGGAAUCCUGACCCAGCGACGCCGCGUGAACGAAGACGGCCUUCGGGUUGUAAAGUUCUUUUAUGUGGGAAGAAGGAAGUGA